Long non-coding RNA from Eriocheir sinensis (Chinese mitten crab), 556 nucleotides. RefSeq lists it as uncharacterized. Lineage: Eukaryota; Metazoa; Arthropoda; Malacostraca; Decapoda; Varunidae. The transcript has 3 exons. The record is from RefSeq and is a predicted model, not a curated record.
CCAUUAUCGACUUUCCUGUGAGGUCACCAAGACAGCGGCCAGCCAGGGACGAGAACCACAAGAGGUGGAGGAGAAUGAGGAAGAGGAAGGGCGGUGGAGAGGCGGAAGAAGAGUGGAGGAGGAGGCUGUGUGGAGAGGUGGUGUGCUGGAUGGAGACUGGACAACGGUAUCUGGUGUGCUGGAUGAAGCCUUGACAACGGUAUCUUCACACGCCUGGCAGAGGACAACCAAGAAAAGAAGAAGAAGAAGAAGAGAAGAAGGCUAUCACACAUACAGGAAUUGCAGCAUCAAGAGGAAAGAUUCAGGUUAUAUAUAAAUUUAAAAUGCAAGGAAUAUUUCACAGUGUAAUGUACCGGGUUAUAUUCUUACAUGCAUGUAUGUACUAUGUGAUAUGUUUACGCAUCUACGAAGGCAAUAUAUUUAAACGUAACAUCCCGGGUUAUAUAUUUGUAAGUGUAUGUACUACGCGAUAUAUUUUAAGGGUAAGGUACUGGGUAAGUGUAUGUACGAAGCGAUAUAUUUUAAGCGUAAGGUACUGGGUUAUAUCUGUAAGUGU